GUCUUAAAAACGUUUGGUGACGAUUUCUGUAACCUCUCCAUCACCUGAUCCGUUGUUUAACUAUCUCUAGAGGUAACAUAUUUCUUCUGAUACUUCUAAUUUUUUUCCUAACCAGUUAAGCUUCUUAGGCUUUCUUUCUUUCUUUCUUUCUUUUUUUUUUCCCCCCCACUUUGUGGAUAUUGCAGUAGUGGGAUAGGAUCAUCAUUUUUAUAACUGUUGUUAACCUAUUUUGAAGCCUGUGCUUAUCUUCCUGUAGUCUUCUUACUCCCAUAUUAAGCAAACCCAUUUCCCUUUAGUUUUUGUGACUGCUCAGGUUUUCUUCUGAGCUUCUCCCAGUUUUCUCUGUAUGUGUAUCCAGACCUGAACAUAACAUGCAAGCUUAGUGUCAAUGAGGAACAGAAUAAAUCUUACCAUCUUCUGCAUGUGACAUUCCUGUUACUACAUAUUCAAAUGAAAUUUUUCCUUUUUGCAGCGUCAGAUUAGUAGCUGAUAUCAGUAUGUGAACUGUUAAAACCCCAAUUUCAGUUCUGCUGCUUAAUCACUUAUUCCUAUGUUUUUUGAUCAUUUUGAAUUCUAACCCUGCUUCCCAGAAUGCUUGUGGCCCGUCCCAGAUACUUACAAAAUUUUGCAAGGGUAUUGCUAGUCAUCCAAGUAAUAAAUGAAAAUAUUAAGUAAUCCUGCACUGAAAAUAGUGGGAUUCAGUUGAAAAUGUUCUUUCAGUUUCACAGCAAACUUCUGUUGACUACUCUGAAUACUUCUUUAAAAAUCAAUCCUGCUCACUUUUUCCUUAUUUUCUGUAGACUGGUGUUCCUUCACAGAUGUAAAAUUCUUGAGGGCUUAAAAGCUCUCAUUAAGAGAGAAAGGCUUAAAUUGGUUGAUGAAGAAAAAGCUUAUCGCAGUGGUAAGAAUCCUGCAGCCUGUAUCUCGAUGCAGAUCUGGCCUUUGAAGGCAGAUCCCAGAAUGGUUGCGCUUGAACGGCGUCUCCGGAGAUUGUCUAGUCUAAGCCCCUGCUCAAAGCAGGGUCAACUAGAGCUCAUGUCCAGUCAUCUUGGAUAUCUACACAGCCUUUCUGGACAACCUGUUCCAGGACAACCCUCCCAGGAAAAAUGUUAUUUUGUAUGUUUAAAUAGAAUUUCCCAUUGCCUCGUGGCUGUUCACUGGAUACCCCUGAGAAGGUUGGCUCUGCGUUCUCUACACUGUCCCAUCAGGAAAGUUCCUCUGACCUGCUGUGCAGCGGCUGGGAAAAGGCAAGCAGGUGGCCUUCCUCUCUGCUCCAGCUAUGGCCUUUCUGAAAGAACUUCAGUAAGCAGUAAACGGCAGACACAACAGGAUAGGUUUUGUGCUAGCACUUGGUGUCCUUGGGAGCUUUCCUGUCUUCCGUGGGCUUUUGAAGACAAUUGCAGAUUUAAAAGAAUUCUAUUAGAAUUUGGAAAACUUCACUUUAUUACCUGUCUGCUGAAUUGGAGUGUGUGGAACACCCAGGGGAGAUGUGUUGCUCGCCAUCAAGAUCCACAGACAAGAGUCCAGAACUGCUUUAUGAGGACAUGCAAAGCAGCACAGCCUCGUAUUUUACUGCUCCCAAUUUAG
Molecule: long non-coding RNA, 1587 nt
Organism: Apteryx haastii (Great spotted kiwi)
Lineage: Eukaryota; Metazoa; Chordata; Aves; Apterygiformes; Apterygidae
Source: Ensembl